GAUCCUGGCUCAGGAUGAACGCUGGCGGCGUGCUUAACACAUGCAAGUCGAACGAAGCGAUAGAGAACGGAGAUUUCGGUUGAAGUUUUCUAUUGACUGAGUGGCGGACGGGUGAGUAACGCGUGGGUAACCUGCCCUAUACAGGGGGAUAACAGUUAGAAAUGACUGCUAAUACCGCAUAAGCGCACAGCUUCGCAUGAAGCGGUGUGAAAAACUGAGGUGGUAUAGGAUGGACCCGCG
RNAcentral lists this ribosomal RNA (240 nucleotides) under uncultured bacterium. RNAcentral describes it as "partial 16S ribosomal RNA". It matches the Rfam family "Bacterial small subunit ribosomal RNA", at positions 15 to 235 of the family's 1533-position model. The record is from RNAcentral.